CCCUCAUUUCCUCAAUCGCUGUCCUGGAGAGGGAGAAGCGGAGGAAAAUGAGCAGAAAUACCGCUUCAUUCACAGUGAGGAGGAUGGAGACAGCAACAUGAAGGACCGCAGGCGAUGGAGGCGGAAGGUGGCAAGAUACUGAGGAAUGUCACAGCAAGGACACCAGCUGAUCCAGGACAGAAAACCAGUGGAAACAAGGACCACAGAGUGAGAACAGUGCUUGCCUUGAGCAGCUUUUGGAAUUCAUCUCCUGCCAGUGGCAUUCAGUGACAUCUUGGCCACCAAUACCUGGAAAGCUCUGAGCUCUACUGCCCACUUGUUAUGUUGCUGCAGACUUUUGGAGGUUGCAUGUGGACCAGAGCAUCAGUGUGGUCCUGUUGUCCUCCCUGCACAGCCUCAGCUCUGUGGUGUUGCAGAACAAAUGACAAAAACGGAGAUUUUUGUGCGAUGAAAUCUGCAGGGUGUGGCAAGAGGGGACAGAAUCUAAGAAAAGAAAAGAAACCCUAGAAAAUGAAUUGCACGCUAUGAAUGUAAA
Lagopus leucura (white-tailed ptarmigan) is the source of this 535-nucleotide long non-coding RNA. RefSeq lists it as uncharacterized. The transcript has 3 exons. Lineage: Eukaryota; Metazoa; Chordata; Aves; Galliformes; Phasianidae. The record is from RefSeq and is a predicted model, not a curated record.